This 905-nucleotide long non-coding RNA is filed under the name Homo sapiens (human). RNAcentral describes it as "HRG and FETUB antisense RNA 1". Lineage: Eukaryota; Metazoa; Chordata; Mammalia; Primates; Hominidae. The record is from RNAcentral.
CUGGCAGAGGUGGUUGGGGCUAUGUGCCUGGAGUGAAGAUUCUGCCCAUUGGUCAAGAGACCUCCCUCUCAGAUGCUGGCUCUGCCCCUGCCUUUGGGGGUCGACCCUUGUACUCGCAGGACCUUAGGUGACUCUAUUCUACUUCUCUGAUCAUCCAGGAAGCCAACCUGCCUGAGGACGAGUCAUACUCUGUCCUCCCACCCCAGGCCAGAGAGUGGUAUCUGUCUUUCCACAAGUUAUGGACGUCUGGAAUCAGGUGGCUCACAGUCAUUCCAGUAUUUCCUGGAUAGGACCGAACAGUCCGAUUCUUGCACAUCUAAGACUAAGUAAUAUACAGUUGUAUUUUCCUGAGGAAUGCCAAAAGCAACAUGAGCUGGCCAUAAAGACAUUCUCUGACCUACUCUGUUUGAUAGUAGGUCCUCAGAUCCGCAUUCCAAAGGGAUCCUGUCCCAUACUUGGGAGCAAGAAAUGCCACACAGAGAGGCCAUGAAGAACUCAAACAGAGAGGCCUUGCUGGGUCCUUCUUUCAGUCUAUGACUCUUAGAUUACAGCCUUUUGUCCCAUCACACUUCUGCAUUCUGCACAGCCUUUGUGAAUUCUAAGUAUGCAAGUGGCCAGUUUCUUUGGAUAUCUGAGUCUUCAUUUAUGAAGACUCCAGUGUCAGGACCAUAUUGCGACUGAAACAAGGCAUAACAGGUCUUUGACUGGCUAUCCUGUGGAUGUGGACUCAGGCUAGCCUGCGCAAAGUGAAAGACAGGCAAUUAGAUUGAAAAAUACCUGUGAUUCAAAGAAGUCACAAGUCACAGAGACAAACUUUUCCCAGUGUGUUCGAGUCAGAGAACCUUUGCAAAGACCAACAGGCUAAAAGAGAAAAUACAAUGUCAUGACACAGCUAGAAUAUGUUU